GUGCUUGCUUUGGUGGCACAUAAACUAAAAUUGGAACAAUACAGAGAGAUUAGCAUGGACCUUGUGCAAGGAUGAUAUGCAAAUUCUUGAAGUGUUCCAUAUUAAA
This is a small nuclear RNA of Choloepus didactylus (southern two-toed sloth), 106 nucleotides long. The record is from RefSeq and is a predicted model, not a curated record. Lineage: Eukaryota; Metazoa; Chordata; Mammalia; Pilosa; Megalonychidae.